AACGAACGCUGGCGGCAUGCCUAACACAUGCAAGUCGAACGAUGCCUUCGGGCAUAGUGGCGCACGGGUGCGUAACGCGUGGGAAUCUGCCUUUCGGUUCGGAAUAACUCAGGGAAACUUGAGCUAAUACCGGAUAACUUCGCAAGACCAAAGAUUUAUCACCGAAAGAUGAGCCCGCGUAGGAUUAGCUAGUUGGUGAGGUAAGGGCUCACCAAGGCGACGAUCCUUAGCUGGUCUGAGGGGAUGAUCAGCCACACUGGGACUGAGACACGGCCCAGACUCCUACGGGAGGCUGCAGUGGGGAAUAUUGGACAAUGGGCGAAAGCCUGAUCCAGCAAUGCCGCGUGAGUGAUGAAGGCCUUAGGGUUGUAAAGCUCGUUUACCCGGGAAGAUAAUGACGGUACCGGGAGAAUAAGCCCCGGCUAACUCCGUG
Molecule: ribosomal RNA, 433 nt
Filed under: uncultured bacterium
Lineage: Bacteria
Description: partial 16S ribosomal RNA
Rfam family: Bacterial small subunit ribosomal RNA
Source: RNAcentral